This is a long non-coding RNA of Alosa sapidissima (American shad), 859 nucleotides long. RefSeq lists it as uncharacterized. The record is from RefSeq and is a predicted model, not a curated record. NCBI's taxonomy places the organism in Eukaryota, Metazoa, Chordata, Actinopteri, Clupeiformes, Clupeidae. The transcript is spliced from 5 exons.
GUUAUUUCAUGUGAUGUCUGUGAGGCUACUUCGCGAGUAGUUCCUAGAGAAGAAUGGGCGGCCACACUUUAUGUCGGUCUGCCUCAUGUCUAAAUAGCAGCGUGUUCCGUGAAGGUGUCGCGGACCGGAUUAAAAUAGCCUAGUCAGCGAAUCAACAAUCAGAGAAAACUGCGCUGAGAACGUUGUAGACCAACGUGAUCUCACGAGAUGGCGUAAAAUAGCACGCCACUUUUAAAGCAAUUUAGCGUGUCAUGUAUACGCCUUUCAGUCUUUUAGCGUGUUUUUUCACGCCCAUUGUGGAUCAGCCUGUUACGGCGUGUCAUUUGACGAACUAGUAAAAAAAUAUCAACCCAGCUUCCAUUCAGCUUGGAGGAAAAUUGGAGGGAAAUGUCAAGAUGCAAGCAAGAACAUCAAAACGACUCUCAAAAUUUAGAGAGAGGAGUUUGAGCUGGGCGGAGGCCACAAGGAGAAAUCGUUAACGUUUCCCAUGUGGUAAACGAUGCGCAUAUCAUGGUGGAAAAACUAAAGGCCCUGGGGAUGAGGCCCCUACUUCUUACCGGGGCCUAUUCCAAUACUAGCCAGGUCUGGGGACAGAAUGUGUGUUCCCAUAUGACCUCCCAGACCUGGCUAAGAACAUAAUCAAACAGAUUCAGUUUCUGUACAGAAACCUGUUAGAGGGAUGGACUCCACCAGGAGAGGAACCAGCAAAAAAAAACAGACAGGAGGCAGGUGAGGAGGCAGCCGUGGAGGCAGAGGAGGAGAGGUCCGUGGAGGCAGAAGUAGCCAUGGAUGCAGGGGAGCCAGAGGGGGCAGAGGAGUGUGAGGAGGUAGAGGAGAGAGAGGCAGGAGAGCAAGAGGA